This is a long non-coding RNA of Amphiprion ocellaris (clown anemonefish), 690 nucleotides long. Lineage: Eukaryota; Metazoa; Chordata; Actinopteri; Pomacentridae. The record is from Ensembl.
GGAGGAGGCAGCAGAGACUCUGCUCUCCUCGUUUGGAUUAAUUCUGAUAUAAUAACUGUUGGUUUAUUUAUCGGUGGAGCAGCACAACAUUUUCCACAGACAGUUUUCCUGCCCGUUGGCUUGUUUUAACCAGUUUUCUACCUUCGGCUGAUUCUACCAGCAGACACUGAAAGGACUCUAAUAGUUCGUUUCAGCUCCAGAGACGGCAGGCGGGACGAGUCAACGGAGGCCGGGUGGACGAAGGCAUGCAGCUGAGUACAAUCCAGAAAACAACAGAGGAGGAGUACAGCGGCCCAGGGCCAGAACAAACAGAGUAGCAUGACCAAAGAACUACAGACUCUUCACAACCUGCUCAAACUCUUGGUACAGGACCUCACCACACAGGUCAAAAAGGUUUCCGUCUCAUUUCUACUCUGAAGCUCACCUUCUCCUGCUCAAACUGCUGACAAAUGUUUCUGCUGCUCUAAAGUCUGCUCUCCAGAACUUCCUAAAAACUCUCAAAGUCUCUUCUGCUGCAGGUUGCUUUGUAGAACUGUUCCAGAAAACCUCACUAAACCACAUGGAGGGGCCUCAAGAUAGUCGUCCAAAUGAAACUGUACAAAAACCAAACUAGCACAACCCAAACGCUAAAGUCUCCUGCAACCUACCAGAGAACCUCUGAGAACAGAGAAUCAGGACAGGAACUCUUAC